Molecule: unclassified non-coding RNA, 253 nt
Filed under: uncultured Dehalococcoidia bacterium
Lineage: Bacteria; Bacillati; Chloroflexota; Dehalococcoidia
Description: contains 16S-23S intergenic spacer region
Rfam family: Bacterial small subunit ribosomal RNA
Source: RNAcentral
UACGUAGGAACCGAGCGUUGUCCGAAUUUACUGGGCGUAAAGGGCGCGUAGGCGGUCCGUUAAGUCUCAUGUGAAAUCUCCCGGCUCAACUGGGAGGGGUCAUGGGAUACUGGCAGACUUGAGGGCAGUAGAGGGAAGCGGAAUUCCCGGAGUAGUGGUGAAAUGCGUAGAUACCGGGAGGAACACCAGUGGCGAAGGCGGCUUCCUGGACUGUGCCUGACGCUGGGGCGCGAAAGCGUGGGGAGCAAACCGG